RNAcentral lists this ribosomal RNA (253 nucleotides) under uncultured bacterium. RNAcentral describes it as "partial 16S ribosomal RNA". It matches the Rfam family "Bacterial small subunit ribosomal RNA", at positions 524 to 776 of the family's 1533-position model. The record is from RNAcentral.
UACGGGGGGGGCAAGCGUUGUUCGGAAUUACUGGGCGUAAAGGGCUCGUAGGCGGCCAACUAAGUCAGACGUGAAAUCCCCAGGCUCAACCUGGGAACUGCGUCUGAUACUGGAUGGCUUGAAUUCGGGAGAGGGAUGCAGAAUUCCAGGUGUAGCGGUGAAAUGCGCAGAUAUCGGGAAGAACACCCGUGGCGAAGGCGGCUCUCUGGGACGGUACUGACGCUGAGACGCGAAAGCGUGGGGAGCGAACAGG